This 347-nucleotide unclassified non-coding RNA is filed under the name Basidiomycota sp. RNAcentral's name for it is "partial contains small subunit ribosomal RNA, internal transcribed spacer 1, and 5.8S ribosomal RNA". The stretch from base 1 to 47 matches the Rfam family "Eukaryotic small subunit ribosomal RNA", at positions 1785 to 1831 of the family's 1831-position model. The record is from RNAcentral. Lineage: Eukaryota; Fungi; Basidiomycota.
AAAGUCGUAACAAGGUUUCCGUAGGUGAACCUGCGGAAGGAUCAUUAUUGAUUUGAAAACUGGAUGUGCUGGCCUUCAUCAGCAAAUGUUGUUGAAUGCAUGUGUCACUCCAAACUUCAUCUUCAUAUAUCCCUAAUGUGCACUUUGUUGCUUUUGUAAGAUGUGUUUACGUCUGCCUGGGUUUUGCUGCACUAGCUUACGCUAUGCUUGCUUAAUCCUAUAGCUGCAAACUUACUCAUCUUCCUUGAGCUUUUUCAUUGAACACCUAUCCUUAAAAUGUAAAUUUAAAGGACAUUUGUCCGAUAAUUAUACUAAAACAACUUUCAACAAUGGAUCUCUUGGCUCUC